This 93-nucleotide small nucleolar RNA is filed under the name Fukomys damarensis (Damara mole-rat). Its description in RNAcentral is "Small nucleolar RNA U3". It matches the Rfam family "Small nucleolar RNA U3". Rfam says of the family: Small nucleolar RNAs (snoRNAs) are involved in the processing and modification of rRNA in the nucleolus. There are two main classes of snoRNAs: the box C/D class, and the box H/ACA class. U3 snoRNA is a member of the box C/D class. The record is from Rfam by way of RNAcentral. Lineage: Eukaryota; Metazoa; Chordata; Mammalia; Rodentia; Bathyergidae.
AAGGCUAUACUUUCAGGGAUCAUUUCUAUAGUUGGUGACUAGAGAAAUUUCUCUGAUUGUGUAGAAACAAACUCAAGGAAAAGAAUAGGAUGA